RNAcentral lists this ribosomal RNA (895 nucleotides) under Acinetobacter lwoffii. Its description in RNAcentral is "bacterial SSU rRNA". It matches the Rfam family "Bacterial small subunit ribosomal RNA", at positions 34 to 913 of the family's 1533-position model. Lineage: Bacteria; Pseudomonadati; Pseudomonadota; Gammaproteobacteria; Moraxellales; Moraxellaceae. The record is from RNAcentral.
CGGUUGGCGAGGCCUACCAUGCAGUCGAGCGGGGAACGGUAGAUUGUGUACCUGGCCUAACGACGGACGGGUGAGUGAUGCUUAGGAGUCUGCCUAUUAGAGGGGGACAACGUUCCGAAGGGAACGCUAAUACCGCAUACGUCCUACGGUAGAAAGCAGGGGAUCUUCGGUCCUUGCGCUAAUAGAUGAGCCUAAGUCGAAUUAACUAGUUGGUGGGGGAAAGGCCUACCAAGGCGACGAUCUGUACCGGGUCUGAGAGGAUGAUCCGCCACACUGGGACUGAGACACGGCCCAGACUCCUACGGAAGGCAGCAGUGGGGAAUAUUGAACAAUGGGUGGAAGCCUGAUCCAGCCAUGCCGCGUGUGUGAAGAAGGACUUUUGUUUGUAAAGCACUUUAAUUGAGGAGGAGGCUACUUAAAUUAAUACUUAUGGAUAGUGAACGUUACUCCCAGAAUAAGAACCGGCUAACUCUGUGCCAGCAGCCGCGGUAAUACAGAGGGUGCAAGCGUUAAUCGGAUUUACUGGGCGUAAAGCGCGCGUAGGCGGCUUUUUAAGUCGAAUGUGAAAUCCCCGAGCUUAACUUGGGAAUUGCAUUCGAUACUGCUGGGCUAGAGUAUGGGAGAGGAUGGUAGAAUUCCAGGUGUAGCGGUGAAAUGCGUAGAGAUCUGGAGGAAUACCGAUGGCGAAGGCAGCCAUCUGGCCUAAUACUGACACUGAGGUGCGAAAGCAUGGUGGAGCAAACAGGAUUAUAUACCACUGUGAGUCCAUGCCCGUAAACGAUGUCUACUAGUCCGUUGGGUGCCCUUUGAGGACUUUAGUGGUCGCAGCUAACGCGAUAUGUAGACCAGCCCUGGUGGAGUACCGCUCGCAAGACGUAAAAACCUCCAUCAUGGU